UCUUCAAAAAACUAAAAAUAGAAAUACCAUUGACCCAGUAAUUCCAUUCUCAAAGAAAAUGAGAUCCCUGAUUCAAAAAGACAUAUGCACCCCUAUGUUUAUCACAGCACUAUUUACAAUAGCCAGGAUAUGGAAGCAACCUAAGUGUCCAUCAAUAGAUGAAUGAAGAAGAUGUGGUACAUAUACACAAUGGAAUAUUAUUCAGCCAUAAAAGGAAAAGAAAUCCUGCCAUUUGCAACAACACAGAUGGAACUAGAUGGUAUUAUGCUCAGUGAAAUAAGCCAGGCAGAGAAAGACAAACACCAAAUGAUUUCACUCAUUUGUGGAGUGUAACCACAAAGCAAAACAGGGAAAAAUAUAACAGUAGACUCAUAGACACCAAGAAGGGACUAGUGGUUACCAAAGGGGAGGGAUUGGGGUGGGGGAAGCAGAAAGGGAUUAAGGGGCACAAUAAUUCGCAAUUACAAUACAGUAGGGCACAGAGAUGGUAGUGCCGCACGGAGAAUAAAUUAAUGACUCAAUAUAACAUCUUACUACAUUGAUAGACAGUGACCACAGUGGAGGAGGUGAGGACUUGAUAAUAUGGGUGAAUAUUGAACCUCUGUGCUGUGUACUUGAAACCAUCAUAAGAUUGUAUAUCAACGAUACUUUAAUUUUUAAAAAAUCACUGGUUCCUAUACACAGCCCACAUGGCCCCCAUUAGGCUUCCAUGUUUAUUUACAUUAGGACAGUAUUUUCAGGCAAUAGGAGCCAUUGUAGGCUCUUCCACUUCUGCUGAGCUCAGUUGAAGACUUAUGUUAUCAUGAGGCAAGCAAAGGGUUAAAGUUCUGGGCCCCUCGGGUUGAGCCACUUUGGAUUCUCUCUCUUGUGCCUGUUAGACCACUGGCAUAAGACUUCAACAGAUUGGAAGAUAUGCCAACGUGAAGACCUAGAAAGUGGCCUCGAAUGCUCCUCUCCAGGAACUGCGACAAAUUCUCAACUUUUCACUGGACUUUUCAAAGUAGGAAAUACAGAGGGUAACCAUUGCACAUCACCUUCCAGAGGUCCAAGGACCUUAAACUCUUUGACUAGGACAGAGAAAAUAAGUCUUUCAUGGGGGCCAAAACCUCUGGGAUGUGGAAAAUAACAUGUUAAACUAUUUUGUACAAAUUACAGAAGUUAUACUCAAGAGGCACACAGACUAUUCCUAAUAUACAUGCUCUAAAAUGUCCCUGAGAGUUAGAUUCCUACAAAUUAGAUUUUCCUACCUUAGUUUCCAGGUGGGAUAAAAGAAUGAAGGUUGAAAAGAUAGUCAUCCCCUGUACACUUUCACCUCCUACUUAGAACAGAACUUAUUCUAGUUCCCCAUGGCUUCUGUCUCACUUGCUAAGCAUCUAGUACUUAAGAUCAGAUUCCAUUUUGGGGGCUCUGUAGGAAAGGCAGUGGCCCUCAGGAGAAAACCUGUGAACACAGCCAUAUGUAAAAGCAGGCCAGACACAAGAAGUCACUGGAUAUGGAAGACUUGGAAAGGUAAGAUUGUUGUCGCUCCAGCUGCUGGGAGUGCUGUCCACAGCCUCUAGCUGUCACCUCCUUGGAGUUUGUCUCUGCUACAAGGGCAUGCCCUUCCCUGAGCAACCAACAUCCCAUUAUAGAGCGCAGAGGGCUACAAAGGCCGGCCACUUCAGGCCACGAUGGAACAGUUCUGAUGAGCCACAUACAUGUCGGUGCUCCUGGGGCCUGGCCGAGGCUCCUGUUGUGCCUAUACUAUAGUUAACAGCAACUGCUUCCCAUUCCUUCUUUCCCAUCCCUUUUAUAGGAUUUCAUUGCUCAUUUCUCAUGCUAAACUCCCCCUCAACAUCUAAUUCUAAAAAGCCCAGCCUGUUACACUAGGCAAAAGGGGCUUGGAGGAGCAGGAUUCCACUCUUUCUUGCCCAGGAUGCCUAACCAUCAUUAUGACCGAGUUCUGAGUACUAACCUUCUCAAAUUGAAGAGAUUGGUAUAGUUCUGGCAUUUCUAGGAUAUGUUGUGGUGUCCACAUCCCUCUAGUUUCUAGUUACAUGCAAACUCUUAUAGCUCUUUAUGGACCUAGAUUUCAAGAAUUUUAUCCUUUGGUGUGUUUUUCUUGCCUCAUGCUUGCUCUUCACAUGGAGAUUCUGUGUCUCCCAACCCGUCCACUUCAAACACAGAACUGUCUAAACACUGAAAUUAUAUCUUCUUCCUAAAGUUAGGGAAGAGCACCACCCACUAAGGACUAUCAAUGGUCUGGCUAACGUUCAAGACCUGGCUUCACAGGUUCUGUAAUUCCAGGGAGGAUCCCAACAUGGUGUCACCACUAGCAGAGGGAGGUUACCAGACAUCAUAUUUCCAGCAGUGGAUUGUUCAGAGAAAUCAAUCUCUGUAUUGCUAAAUCUUCCAAGACACUUAAAACAUGUAGAUAUGUUUUAUUAUGUAAAUUUAAGGGUAUCUAUAAAAUAUGCUAGACCAAGGCAGAGAAUUGGGUUUUAUACCUAGUCCAACACCAGGCUGAAUUACCUGAAGAUGUUAACCUGCAUCUUCCAGAUGUGGAACAGACCAUAAAAAUCAUGUAGGAUUCAAUAAGAACUGCCUCAACUAACAGAGUACUCCAGUGUUCCACCUUAUGAUUUCCCACCUUCUCUGAAGAGCCAAAAAUUCAAAAACUUUUUGAACCAAAGUUCAAUAGAUUCCUUGCAAUCUCAACUCAUCAUCUGUAAUGUUACAAUGAUUGGCAAAAUGUCCCUAGCCAAAUUACUAUGCAAACUGAAAACACACUAAAGUGAACCUGUGGGUGCACAACAGCAAAGGUAGGUGCACACAGGGGCAAGGGCAAAUGGCAAGAGCAGCAGUAUUGUUUCCCACAGUCAAUACUUCAUGUUCACAUUAUUUACUGUGCUUUUUUUCCCCACAUGAGAAAAAUUAGAUGGACCCUAGAGGCCUAGAAAAGCUCCUGUGUUCCAGGAAGAGUUGUGUGUGAUACAAUAUCCUGACAGGUGAAUCCGUAGAAUACACACUUAGCCGUGCACUUACUUUCCUGACAACCCAUUUUCUCUAUGCACAGCAGAAAAACAUGAAAGUUAGGUGUAAAAAAGGAACCACAUUAUGUCAAAGAUACUUCAAUUACAAAAAAAAGAAAAGAAAAAAUAAAAUGCCUUAAGUCAAAGCAAGGGAAGGGAAGGGAAAAGAAAAAAGAGGGAAGGAGGAAAACAGGGGAAAAGGGAGAAAGGGGGAAAAGGGGGAAAAUGGGAAAGAAAAGAAAAGGAAGCACGCUGCUCACGCAGAGGUACUUUUGAAAACAAGAUAACCUCCACUCUGUGACAAUCCACCCACCUAGGUGUGCGCCACUGGUGCAUGAUAACAGCUAUGGCUUGCCUCUCUGGGGCACUUUGUUUUAGCCUUCAGAGCCCAUUUCCCCACUGAGGUCCUCUUUGUUCUUUCUGCUAAACAGCCUGUUUUGCAUCAUCUACAAAGAACCAUUUUCUAUUUCAAUUAACUCAUUCUCUUUACCAAAAACUGCCUCCAUCCAAGGCUGUAUACCUGGGAUAUCCUGUGGGAUCAUCUAGUCAAUCAUCGAUGGUUCCUUCUACCCCAAAAGCCCAGCGGAGGCUCCAACCCCGCUGAGGUCUCAGGGAGCACAGAGCUCUGCUCUGUGAUCAAGUGCUGCCAUCUCUUGGACAAAGUGCUGAACUCAGUCCCAACCUGUCUACCCCUCAGGUCUCCCCUGGGCUUUGAUUCUCCCACCUACAUUUACAGCCCGGAUGGGAGAGGUACUCAGAAGCCCCCACAUCUUAUAAGGCAUAGAUCUUAGAUAACCAGGUAAAGCAAUAUCCCAUAGACCCAGAAACCUUGUCCUUUCUGGAUUUCACAAGUAUUUUGCUCACAGAGGAAGAGGGGCUUAAAUGGAGUAAUCUGGUUUUGACCCACUUAGGCAAAUAAGCCAGGUGAGGGUGUCCACAGAAGAGCUAUCCAGCUGUUAAGUGCAGACUUGCCUUCCCAUGGAAUCCCAGGCUUCAUUCGUUCUGCUAGCUGGCGGGUAAGGUUGGUUCCUGAGUGAGCACUUAAAGGACAGAUCUUCUCAUGGAAGGCUCCGCAGAGAUAUAGAGCAAAUCCUUCGUAAUCUGCAUGGGUAGGUAAGCUCUUGUUCCCCCUUGUUUCAUCUCAAAGACAAACAAAUGAAAAGCAACAUUUCUACCAAGGAACCAAAGAUCUUCUACCAAGACAUAACCAAGGCUAAGUCUUCAGCAUGACCUACAAUUAUUGAUCAGUUUGAAAUGGUUAUUUUAAAAAAUAUGUCUUAACCCCAGUCGUAACAUCAAUAAAAUAUCACUCUGUAACCUAAUCAGACUGGCUUGAUAGGGUAUCUCCCAUGCAAGACCAGGUACCCACUGCAGUUGAGUAGACCUAGACCCCUUCAUCAAUCAGAAUCAUAGGCCUGGCUUUGUUUUAGGAUUCUUCCAGAUAGAGUUACCAGCUCUGGAUACACUUUGGCACACUGACCUAAGAGACUGGAAAGGCAGGUAUGUUUUAUGUCUGCUAAGCCCAGAUAUGUUUAUCCUGACCUCUCAGAGAUCUUUUUACCCAUGGAAUUCUUGUCUAUUAGGAAAUGCAAAAGAUAAGCCUUCAUUCUUAACUAAAUAUACAGGGUGUCCUAGAAAAGGACUUUAGACCUUUAACAUAAUUUGUCACUGCUAAUUUCCAUCCCAUUCUGAAGGGCAAGAAUAAUGUCACGUCACUCCCAUCUUACCUGUUCACAAAAGGAACAGGGCUUGAAGUCAGGGUGAACUAACUAGACAAGAAAUCCAUCUCUACCACCACUCCCUGCCCCAAACUGAUGUCACUCAGUCCUCAUUCCCUAAACUACAUGGUACAUAGGACCUUCCAUCAGGCACAGUCAGUAUUGAUCAGGACCAGCGAUACCCCAGGGCCAGCUUUUAUCUUUCAACUUUUGCCAGUAAAUGAGAAUCAUGAUUUACCUUCAGUAACUUCCUCAUUGUCAAGUAAUCAGAAGAUCUCUCCCAAAACCUUCAUUGUAAGGGUCCAGAUACACCACAGGCAGGUAUUUUACUGAGCCACAUAUUUAGAUUCUUCAGGCAUUUAAGAAACUUUAUCAGCAUCACUAAUAGUAGUUUGGCAUUAGGGAAGAGGCAGAGUUAUGUUGGAAAUGGUAGCUAACCACUAAUUCUAAUACCAGAGCAUCUUCGCUGUGUUCUAUGGCUGUGGCAAUCUUGAAAUAUGCCUUUGGGACUGCCUGAUUAGGGUAAUUGACUGACAGAUCCAGCUGCCAUGCUACAAACCAAUAUUAAGUGGGAAGAAAAGUACAUAUACUGAUUCUUGGGUAGUGUUUAAUUGACGGGCCAUCUAGUCAGGGUCCAGAUGGAAAAGGAGUAAAAAAUUAAAGAGACUAGGAGCAAGCAUAUGGAUAUACAAGAUAUGCAUAUUUUCAUAUCUCAUGUUAACACCUACCACAAAGCAUCCACCCCAGAAGAGGCUUAGAACAACCAAAUGGAGAAAGUGGCUGCCAGCUGACAUUAGUCAGCCUUCAUCAGCAGACAGGCAAAUGAAUGAAUAGUUAUGGUUACAGACAUGGAGGCUACCUGGGUGCCCAACUACUUGGAAUGCCACACUCUAGAGCCAGUCUAGCUACUGCUGCCUCUCACUGCCCAAACUGUCAACAGAAAGGAGUGUUGAAUAUUCAUUACUGCACUAUUUGCAAAGAAGACCAACUUAUUACUAGCAAGUUGGCUACAUUGACUAUAUAAAGCCUUUCUCAUUUUAGAAAUCCAGAAAUUCAAGCUCCCAGGAACAGAUACCUAAUCUUGGAAUGGGAUGGUAUUUCCUGCUUGCAGAACCUCAAACAGUACCAUUCUGGGGGCUUCUACCAUGUGUCAGGGUCCAAGGGUUGCCAUUGAGGUCUUGGGGUGAUGUGAAGAGCAAAGAAAGAGGUGGGAGUCGUCAUGGAGGGUGCUCAGAAGAAGCCACUUUAUUCUGCAUAAAGCUGUACUUUUUAUACUGCUAUAGUGCUAACUCAAGGUUACCCAUAAGAAUUGAAGACACACAUGCGUGUGGCCUUCAUGGCCAGGUGUCUGGCCUUCAAGGCCCUUAUCUAGCUCCUUACUCAUGGGUACAACACACUGUAUUUUCAAGGUUUCUCAAGGCCAGACAUAUCCAGGAUGAAGCAGUGGACAGCUGUCCUUACAGAACAGUAGGAAAAGUGGGGGAGGCAGAUAGCCCUACCCUACACCACGUUCUACCCAUAGGCGAUCCCAGUCAGCAAAGCUCCUAUCCAACAGGCUACCUACAGAAAAGGCGCUGAGUGGGCCCCUGAUCAUGGGGUCCGUUGGUCAUAUCCCAGUAUAAUACCUAGCAGCUAGCUUUUCUUUCAACAGCAAGUUUAUAGACCUUUCAGAAAGCAUAGCAGAAGCACUAACAGCAUGCUCUAAGUUUAGGACACCUUCCUUCAGGAUAGUAUUUACAUUAGAGACAUCUACAUGGUGCUCUAUCCCUAGUAGCGAGACUCUUUGGGUCUAAGAAUCAGGAGGUGAAAGCUAAAACUGUCCCACAUUCCAUUACAUAAAAUGACAUACUGAGUCAUUUUAUGAGUCAUCACUGUUGGUGGGAUAACUGAGUGAUCAAAAAGAGGAGGUUGGGCUGCAUUUACAUGAUAAUGGGUAAAACUGUAUGUUGAACCCUGUGGUCCACUUGACUAUCCCCUUGUACCUCCUUUCUUGUCCCUAAGGAUGACCACCUAAGGGUCACACCACCAGGGAAGUUGAACUGCCGAUGAGGUGGAGAGUGCAGGCAGGACAAGAUGGGUAUCAGCUGUGACCCAAGAUCAACUAAGCAAUGGUUUCUGUGUCUCAUCCCACUUACACCCUUUGAGUUUUCUCUCUGGAAACGAGGCCCUUUGGGUACCAUGAAGCUGCUACUUUGUGGACCUGGGUAGAAAAAUAGAUCUGUCAGCAUAAAAGGCAGACUAUGGAGGCUGUUAGAAGUUCAUACUUCCCUCAGGCUGAUUCCAACCAACCACAGAAUACUGAUGAAGACCCAUUCCUGGGAGACUUUGGGACUCCUCUGAGAGGGGAUUUCUGGUCUGUUAAUCCCUGACCUUGCCAAGGCAUCUAGUAUUACGCCACAGCCUAAGACGCCUCUUACCCAGCCUUUCUUCCUUUUCUUUCCUGCACACAGACCUGUAUUGCAGUUGCUGGCUCUUCCAAAAUCCACCAGAUCUGUGACUUUCCUUCCUUCACAGGCCUUCCUCCCACCACAAAAGCUGGUGAACAUAAUUCCAUCUUAGCAUCUUAGAUGAUGUGAGCCAACAGUAUAAAAUUUUUGAGUCCCAACUGAAUAAGUAAGCUUAUAGAUGUCUGUAGAUGCUCCCAAGACUACUACUCCAUUCAGAGGGGAGAUGACCACCCAAGGCAGAAGAGGUGGCUAGUGCAGAUCCUGAAUUACCUCAACACCAUGGGUAUUAGCUGUACCCCAUAUUGAUGGGGUGCCCAAGGUACAUGGUUACCCCUUUCCAAAAGUUUUUCAAGUAUAAGGAUUAAGAAGCAUGAUAACUAUUUGCCAAGUUUCCACCUCAUAUCUGCUUGGGCCCACUUAUUCUAGGUUCUUCUGUCCCAGUCUUCUCAUGUUCUACCAUAUGCCAUUUUAUUCUAUUGACCCAAAUGAAACCCAUCACCAUCACAGGUACUGCUGUCUGCCUGUGACACUCAUCACCUUCAGCCUGCCCCAGGGAGAAACUGAAAACCAAGCAUCUGAAGCUUAGGUGGCCAUAGGAACCCAGACAGACCAAUGAGGCCAGGACUCAGACCUGCUUCCUGGGGAAAACCUAUGGCUAUCCUGGAUAUAGGCAUCUACCUGUGACUGCCAUCGACGUCCUCAUCCUGCCUCCAAACAAGAGGCAGAUCACCAAGCCUCUGAAAUUGGCUAGAGGAAUCCAGGCUGACUGGUGAGACCAGGACUCAGAUCUGUCUCUUUUGAUUGGAGGCUCACCGGAUCCAGGAUGACUGGCACCUGGGCUACUCUGUACUACCUUUGCUAGAAAAAGGGCUGGUGUUAUGAGCCAUAACAUUACUCAGCCAAUUCUUCUUUUACCAUAUUCCAUUUUAAUCUUCCUUUGCUUUAACAUUCAUCACUUAUGGACAGGAGUCAGAUAAGUAAUGGUAGCUUCCUAAUUUCUAGGCUUUUAUUAGUGUAUUGUAUUUAAACACAUUCUGUUUUCAAAGCACUACCUUGUCUUUAUUUUAAAAUGUCACUUAUAGUAGUAAACUUAUGGGCAGAAUGACCUUUGGCUAUGGGAUAAUUUUCAUUUUUAUUGGACUUGACAUAGCUUUUCCAGCUACCUUUAGGUGACCUAUAUAAAACCUCAUCCAUUUUGAAGAUUUUAGUCUGAAAAACCAUUAGUAUUUUUCAGUAUUUCUACUAACUACCUCCUCAAACUUAUUAACUAACAGGUUGGUUUUGACAUUGCAAAUUAUGAAAAAAACACACUUUCUCCUCAGUGAUGUUCCAUUAGGCUAAACCAUUAGGAAUCAGCUGGUUCCAAGUGACAGGAAAACCCCAACUCUGUUUUUAAAAACAGUACACAUUACUUCAUAGACAGUAAAGUCAAUGUAGUAUUGCCUCUAAGUGAGGCUGAUUCAGGAGGCUCAGUUUAAUAAAAAACCAGGAUCUCCUUGUCUCUAGUCUCCCCUUGUGGUAUCAGACUCAUCCUCAGUGUCUAAAAAGGGCCUCACCACUACCCUGAGAAGUUCCAGACUCCCCCAUGAGGGUAUAAAGUACUUUAUUAUCUUUCAAAUAUUUCUUCCAAAAGCUCCUCUCAAAAAGUUGUUGCUCCUUUCCAGCAGUAUCUCCUGGAUUUUAAUGCCUGAUUAGAUAGCACACCCAUCCCCGAACUAGUUACAAUAGUCAUGGGUGUGUGAGUAAGAGAACAGAAUAGCUUAAAAAAAGAUAAAGUCAGUCACGUAUGGCUGAGAAUGACCAAGAACAGAAGCAGCCUAUGGAAUGUAGAUUUCCCCAGAAGAAUGUCAGAGGUACUUUUGCCUGAGAAAAUAGGAAUAAAUGUUGAGGAAAGAUGUUCCCUAUAAGACCGAAGCCCAGGGUAGGAUGGUGAGCCUCCUGAGCUAUCAACGCCUUUGUGCUGCGGAGUUCCUACCUCAGGGGCUUUGGCUUCAGUUGUUACGGCUAUAGACCUGUCAAGACAGCCUACCUGACUAAGGUCAAGGGAGUACAAAACCGAGCAAUUUGGUGUUAGUUUGCCAACUCAAAAAUACAAAAUUCAGCUUCC
Manis pentadactyla (Chinese pangolin) is the source of this 9283-nucleotide long non-coding RNA. RefSeq lists it as uncharacterized. The transcript has 2 exons. NCBI's taxonomy places the organism in Eukaryota, Metazoa, Chordata, Mammalia, Pholidota, Manidae. The record is from RefSeq and is a predicted model, not a curated record.